RNAcentral lists this ribosomal RNA (469 nucleotides) under uncultured bacterium. RNAcentral's name for it is "partial 16S ribosomal RNA". It matches the Rfam family "Bacterial small subunit ribosomal RNA", at positions 28 to 507 of the family's 1533-position model. The record is from RNAcentral.
GACGAACGCUGGCGGCGUGCUUAACACAUGCAAGUCGAACGGAAAGGCCCUGCUUGCAGGGUGCUCGAGUGGCGAACGGGUGAGUAACACGUGGGUGAUCUGCCCCUUACUUUGGGAUAAGCCUGGGAAACUGGGUCUAAUACUGGAUAGGACCAUGCUGUAGGGGGUGUGGUGGAAAGAUUAGUUUCGGUAAGGGAUGAGCUCGCGGCCUAUCAGCUUGUUGGUGGGGUAAUGGCCUACCAAGGCGUCGACGGGUAGCCGGCCUGAGAGGGUGGACGGCCACAUUGGGACUGAGAUACGGCCCAGACUCCUACGGGAGGCAGCAGUGGGGAAUAUUGCACAAUGGGCGCAAGCCUGAUGCAGCGACGCCGCGUGGGGGAUGACGGCCUUCGGGUUGUAAACGCCUUUCAGCCAUGACGAAGCCCUUGUGGUGACGGUAGUGGUAGAAGAAGCACCGGCUAACUACGUG